GACUACUCAGGACUCUUCAUAUCAAAUUCUGAAAAUGAGGUGCCCUGCUCACCUCCUGGGGCUGCUUGUGUUCUGGAUCCCAGGGAGCAUUGGGGAUAUUGUGAUGACCCAGACUGCACUCUCCAAUCCUGUUCCUCUUGGAGAGUCAGCUUCCAUCUCCUGCAGGUCUAGUAAGAGUCUCCUAUACAAGGAUGGCAAAACAUACUUACAUUGGUUCCUACAGCGACCAGGACAGUCUCCUCAGCUUCUGAUCUACUUGGUGUUUAAUCGUGUCUCAGGAGUCCCAGAUAGGUUCAGUGGUAGUGGAUCAGGAACUAAUUUCACACUGAAAAUCAGUAGAGUGAAUAAUGAGGAUGUGGGUGUUUAUUACUGUUUGCACAAUGUAGAAUAUCCUCCCACAGUGACACAGCCCAAAUCAAAAACCUCUCUGCUUGAAGCUUUAAAGUUGCCUCAAAAGUUCUUUGCUUUGGGUUCAAACAUUCAGUCAGCAUUGCUGAAAAUGCUUUUAGGAGUCAUUUGUUUUUUCUCUCAGCUACUGUGCCAAUUAACCCCCUGGAAUGGGUUCUUCCAUGAGAAUUGA
Non-coding RNA from Mesocricetus auratus (golden hamster), 580 nucleotides. NCBI's taxonomy places the organism in Eukaryota, Metazoa, Chordata, Mammalia, Rodentia, Cricetidae. The record is from the annotation of a RefSeq genome assembly.